Molecule: long non-coding RNA, 622 nt
Filed under: Zea mays
Lineage: Eukaryota; Viridiplantae; Streptophyta; Magnoliopsida; Poales; Poaceae
Description: long non-coding RNA NONZMAT004188
Source: RNAcentral
GGUAAACAUCUUGUCUGGCCUCAAGGGCUUUCCCUACACGUUCUCUCUCCCUCGUUCGAUGUCGUGCCGCUGCUCUGCAGUCUGCACCCACGCCACCUUCCCGAAGGCGGAAAUCCUGACUCAGACCCCUAAUCUCAUAUUCCUAUGCACUUCGCAACCGUUAAUCCGUUAUAGGAUCAAGGAUCCUACCACCAGAUGCUAUUGUCGAUGAGCGCCUGGUACUCGUACUCCAUGGCAGCAUUCUAGUUGAGGUCAGCCAACGCGUUGCAGUAUUUGCUAGGGAGUGAAGAUGUCGACAUGGCAGAGCGACCCUUGUAGUUAGUAGUUACACAACACAAGUCUGUAAUCGAAUCACCGCCUGUUGGAGGAGGGGAGUUGUCGACGUCGUGCCUUGCAUAGGCCGUGGAUGCGGCGAGCGAAGGCAACAGCUCAACAGCAUGAAGAGGCCGGCCAGAUGUCCUAGUUGGUGUUGUGGCUGUGGAGUACAAGUAACAUGUAUAGAUAUACAUGUGUUAAACUAUAUAUAUCUCUUAUAUAAUAGUUUUAUUAGUGUGUCUAAACCUUGUAAAACUUUGUAAGGCUGUGUGCAUCCUAAUUAUACAGAGGCCGGGAGUGUUUCAGG